UACGUAGGCGGCGAGCAUUAUCCGGAUUUAUUGGGCGUAAAGCGAGUGUAGGCGGUUCUUCAAGUCGGAUGUGAAAUUUCCCGGCUUAACUGGGAAGGGUCAUUCGAUACUGUUGAACUAGAGGGUAGCAGAGGGAAACGGAAUUCCCGGUGUAGUGGUGAAAUGCGUAGAUAUCGGGAGGAACACCAGUGGCGAAGGCGGUUUCCUGGGCUAUUACUGACGCUGAGGCUCAAAAGCGUGGGGAG
This 245-nucleotide ribosomal RNA is filed under the name uncultured bacterium. RNAcentral's name for it is "partial 16S ribosomal RNA". It matches the Rfam family "Bacterial small subunit ribosomal RNA", at positions 524 to 768 of the family's 1533-position model. The record is from RNAcentral.